Molecule: non-coding RNA, 141 nt
Organism: Gossypium raimondii (Peruvian cotton)
Lineage: Eukaryota; Viridiplantae; Streptophyta; Magnoliopsida; Malvales; Malvaceae
Source: Rfam
GUUUAAAAAUUUUAUCUAUUUGUACUGUUAAAAACUAGCGUGGUUGACGAAAUAAACAAUGACACAUGACAUGCUACUUAUAUCUCAUGUCGAUGCGUAGAGAUUAGUUUUUAAUAAUAGAAAUAAAUGAAAAUUUUAACA